UAGGGAAUCUUCCGUAAUGGGCGAAAGCCUGACGGAGCACCGCCGCGGGAGUGAUGAAGGUCCUUGGUUCGUAAAACUCUGUUUUUAGGGAAGAACAAAUGUGUAAGUUACUAUGCACGUCUUGUCGGUACCUAAUCAGAAAGCCACGGCUAACUACGUGCCAGCAGCCGCGGUAAUACGUUGGUGGCAAGCGUUAUCCGGAAUUAUUGGGCGUAAAGCGCGCGUAGGCGGUUUUUUAAGUCUGAUGUGAAAGCCCACGGCUCAACCGUGGAGGGUCAUUGGAAACUGGAAAACUUGAGUGCAGAAGAGGAAAGUGGACUUCCAUGUGUAGCGGUAAAAUGCGCAGAGAUAUGGAGGAACACCAGUGGCAAAGGCGACUUUCUGGUCUGUAACUGACGCUGAUGUGAGAAAGCGUGGGGAUCAAACAGG
RNAcentral lists this ribosomal RNA (429 nucleotides) under Acidobacteriota bacterium. Its description in RNAcentral is "Acidobacteria bacterium partial 16S ribosomal RNA". It matches the Rfam family "Bacterial small subunit ribosomal RNA", at positions 355 to 776 of the family's 1533-position model. Lineage: Bacteria; Pseudomonadati; Acidobacteriota. The record is from RNAcentral.